This 200-nucleotide ribosomal RNA is filed under the name uncultured bacterium. RNAcentral's name for it is "partial 16S ribosomal RNA". It matches the Rfam family "Bacterial small subunit ribosomal RNA", at positions 8 to 208 of the family's 1533-position model. The record is from RNAcentral.
AGAGUUUGAUCCUGGCUCAGGACGAACGCUGGCGGCGUGCUUAACACAUGCAAGUCGAGCGGAAAGGCCCUUCGGGGUACUCGAGCGGCGAACGGGUGAGUAACACGUGAGCAACCUGCCCCUGGCUCUGGGAUAGCUCCGGGAAACCGGGAUUAAUACCGGAUGGUUGCCUGCUCCUGCAUGGGGGCGGGCGGAAAGUU